GAUAAACGCCCUGAGGCGUUGGUUUUUAUGCUGGAGCCAAAGCCUACAGCAUUGGAACAAGCGGCACCCCUGGGGUUCCUGGGAGCCAGAGCCCCCAGAGGUGGGCCGGCAGCAGGAGAACAUCUUCCAGGAGCGGAUGUCUCCAGCCAAGCCCCAGGGAAGGACUGUGUGCAGCCAGGGCCCCAGCCUGGACACACGCCUGCGUUCAGACACAACUUUCCAUUCUUCCCCGGUUUUGACCCCAGAGAAGCCGUUGUGCCCGUCGGGGAUGGUCUGCAUCUUGCCCGUGGGACAGGGAUUAUCCUAGCGGGUGCUUCCUCCAGACGUCCCCAGGCCACUGUGGCAUCAUAUCUAUGACAUUGGAGGCGGGUGUCACAUGCGGGAAAUACCUCCAACCACAUGUUCUUCCUUGGUGUGUACAUGCGCCCAGGCCCACGAGGUCCAUGUGCACACACGUGGGCACCAGUGCUCUCAUACUGGAGGCCCAGAAGAUGACAGUCCCACCGGGGGAGGAUGGCAAUAGCUCCCCACGAUCCUAGGCUCCUGGAUCCAAGGCAAACCCUACAGAAGGUGUCAGAGUCUCGGCCUAGAAGGUGUGAGGCCGUCCUUAUCCUGAACCCCUGCCUGUCGUGUUUAUGGGCCCUUCCCUCCUUCCCACUGGGUGAGCUGUGGACAGCGUGCACCCAGUGGGUCGCCCUGACCUGGGCUCUAGGGAACCUGCUGUCAGCCACAGAACUGAAAGUAGACAGGAGGCACUGACUCUCCGGCUUGACCCCCAACUGAACUGAAAGCACGUUGUGUGUCCACGUACACUGACAGAGAAACAGAGACACGGAUAUGAAUGUAGACACAGAUGCAGAACUAGGAAGUUAGCAGAGGAGAAGCAACAUCACUGAAGAUCAUUAAAUAAAUAAAGAAAUAAAGCUGAAUCUCGAAUAGAGAAAAGGGAGUAAAUAAAAUAGAAUCAUGAAAAAAUAAUUCAUCAAACCGAAAAGCAGAGAGAGGGAUAAAGAAGAAGGAGCACUUUGGUGACACAAAGAAACGGCAAGCCUCGAAUGUAAGGGUGAUCGUGCCUCACGGAUUCCAUGGAACCUAAGUUGGGCAACAAGCAGCACCUUCCAGCAAAGGCCUAAGCGAAUAUUUUGUUUUGUUUGUUUUUAUUUAAAGAUUUUUAUUUAUUUAUUCAUGAGAGUGACAGAGAGUGAGAGAGGCAGAGACAUAGGCCGAGGGAGAAGCAGGCUCCAUGCAGGAAGCCUGAUGGGGGACUUGAUCCCGGAUCCCAGGAUCAGGCCCCGGGCUGAUGGUGGACGCUCAGCCUAGCCCCUGAGUCACCUGGGGGUCUAGACUAAGCUAAUGAAAAUGUACAAGGGAUUGUGUCAUACUGUGUUUGUAAUGGGGUAAAAUCUCUCUUUGCUAAGAAAGAGAGGGCAGCCCGGGUGGCUCAGCAGUUUAGCGCCGCCUUCGGCCCAGGGCCUGAUCCUGGGGACCCGAGAUCGGGUCCCCCCUCGGGCUCCCUGCAUGGAGCCUACUUCUCCCUCUGCUGUGUCUCUGCCUCUCUCCCCGUGUGUCUCUAUAAAUAAAUAAAAAUCAGUAUACACCACAUUUUCUUUAUCCAUUUACCUUUGAUGGACAUCUGAGUUGCUCCCAGCCCUUGGCUAUGAUAAAGAAUGCUUCUAUGAGGAUGGAGGUCUCUGGCGACCCUGCUUUCAAUUCUUUUGACUACACGUAGCCCAGAAGUAGGAUUGCUGGAUUCUAUGGUAGCUGUAUUUUUAAUUUUUUUGAGGAACUC
Molecule: long non-coding RNA, 1789 nt
Filed under: Canis lupus familiaris (dog)
Lineage: Eukaryota; Metazoa; Chordata; Mammalia; Carnivora; Canidae
Description: lncRNA (ENSCAFG00040006324.1)
Source: RNAcentral